GGGCGGGUAGCUCAGUUGGCUAGAGCAUUUGCUUUACACGCAAAGGGUCCGGGGUUCGAGUCCCUGUCCGCUCA
This 74-nucleotide transfer RNA is filed under the name Phycisphaeraceae bacterium. Its description in RNAcentral is "tRNA-Val". It matches the Rfam family "tRNA". From Rfam's summary of the family: Transfer RNA (tRNA) molecules are approximately 80 nucleotides in length. Their secondary structure includes four short double-helical elements and three loops (D, anti-codon, and T loops). Lineage: Bacteria; Pseudomonadati; Planctomycetota; Phycisphaerae; Phycisphaerales; Phycisphaeraceae. The record is from RNAcentral. RNAcentral also lists the same sequence under 1 other name.